This 246-nucleotide ribosomal RNA is filed under the name uncultured Bacteroidota bacterium. Its description in RNAcentral is "uncultured Bacteroidetes bacterium partial 16S ribosomal RNA". It matches the Rfam family "Bacterial small subunit ribosomal RNA", at positions 87 to 334 of the family's 1533-position model. Lineage: Bacteria; Pseudomonadati; Bacteroidota. The record is from RNAcentral.
GAUGGCGACCGGCGCACGGGUGAGUAACACGUAUCCAACCUGCCGAUGACUCGGGGAUAGCCUUUCGAAAGAAAGAUUAAUACCCGAUGGCAUAGUUCUUCCGCAUGGUGGAACUAUUAAAGAAUUUCGGUCAUCGAUGGGGAUGCGUUCCAUUAGUUUGUUGGCGGGGUAACGGCCCACCAAGACAUCGAUGGAUAGGGGUUCUGAGAGGAAGGUCCCCCACAUUGGAACUGAGACACGGUCCAA